RNAcentral lists this ribosomal RNA (482 nucleotides) under uncultured bacterium. Its description in RNAcentral is "partial 16S ribosomal RNA". It matches the Rfam family "Bacterial small subunit ribosomal RNA", at positions 30 to 507 of the family's 1533-position model. The record is from RNAcentral.
AUUGAACGCUGGCGGCAGGCCUAACACAUGCAAGUCGCGGAUGAAGGGAGCUUGCUCCUGGAUUCAGCGGCGGACGGGUGAGUAAUGCCUAGGAAUCUGCCUGGUAGUGGGGGAUAACGUCCGGAAACGGGCGCUAAUACCGCAUACGUCCUGAGGGAGAAAGUGGGGGAUCUUCGGACCUCACGCUAUCAGAUGAGCCUAGGUCGGAUUAGCUAGUUGGUGGGGUAAAGGCCUACCAAGGCGACGAUCCGUAACUGGUCUGAGAGGAUGAUCAGUCACACUGGAACUGAGACACGGUCCAGACUCCUACGGGAGGCAGCAGUGGGGAAUAUUGGACAAUGGGCGAAAGCCUGAUCCAGCCAUGCCGCGUGUGUGAAGAAGGUCUUCGGAUUGUAAAGCACUUUAAGUUGGGAGGAAGGGCAGUAAGUUAAUACCUUGCUGUUUUGACGUUACCAACAGAAUAAGCACCGGCUAACUUCGUG